GUGCACUCUGGAGGCGGCCCCGACAGGGCUGUUGUGAUGGGUAUAAAAUCGAGGCCGUUUGAGGGGCGGUGCCUGACGUCCUGGCCCCGUGGGUUUGCAGAGCAAGGGCCCAGCCAAGCUGGGGAGGUUCACGGCUCUUGGUCUCUGACCCCUUCAUGUUAGUCUCCAGACGUGCGUCAUCCUAGCUGAGUGACCUUGGGAAGGUCACUUGACCCUCAGCUCCUUGGGGGAUCACCAUUCCUAGCUCUUGGGGUUGGGGUGAGGAUGAAGUAUGGAGAACUUGGCACAGAUUGGGCACAGGCUGGACCCUCACUAGCUCCUCUGGCCCAAGGCCCUCAGGCAGCCCCAUGGUGUGGUAGGGCUGCCUUCCCACCUGGGGUCUGUCCUUUCUCCCAGGAUCUCCUGUUGUCUCCUCCUGCUUCGGGGUUGCAGGUGGGACCCGAGGAGCAGGGCACAUUUGCAGAAGCCUAGUCCUUUCUGUCCAGUCCUCUGCCUUCAUGCCUGCCACCCCAGAUAGUGUGUUUCCUGGAGGUCCAUGGCUGUUGGGAGGUAAUUCAGGGCUGAGGUCAGAUUCUCCUCCUCAGAAGCUGAGCCCAAGGCAGCAGUCCCCAUCCCAGACCCUGGGUUGUGCGGAGCCCUCCAACAGCUCAGUGUCCCGUCCGUGCCAUGCUCUUCCUGGGUGUGGCUGGAGUGCCAGCUCAGGUGGGGGCAGUGACCUCGCCUGCUUGGGCUUCCUGUGGUGGGACCUGACCUCAGGCAGGUCCACACCCUGAGAGCCAAGGGUCUGCAUUCUGUUGGGUGAGCCCCAGGAGAGGGCGUCAUCAGUGCACAGAGAGGUUAAGAAAUUCUUUCAAGAGCACACAGCGGACAGAGGUGGCUCAGGGCUACAUGAGUCCAGCCUUGCCACCUGCUCCUUCCCUUGCUCCCUUGCUAAUUUCCGGGUCGUCUGCUCUGAGCUGGCAGACCCAGGACACCGGGAGAGCCGUGAUCA
This 991-nucleotide long non-coding RNA is filed under the name Marmota monax (woodchuck). The record is from RNAcentral. Lineage: Eukaryota; Metazoa; Chordata; Mammalia; Rodentia; Sciuridae.